GGAGAAAUAGUUUUUGAUAACAAUUUUAUCAUCUUGAGAAGGUCGAGAUAUACUUUUUUUUAUCAACAUUUAUCAUUGGAUCUUCUUAGUCAGGUUUGGAAGUAAGGUAAUGAUAUUCUCCGUCCUAAUUAACAUAAGAUGGAGUGAAUUGGGUUAUACUUAUUUUCGCCUAAGUGAUGACUGGGUUACUUUACUUUGUGAAGUGCAGUAAAGUAAAAAAGACAAUUCUUUUUACGUGGAAAAACACCCGGCUCACAAGGUGAAAAAAACCACGACCUACACCUCUGUAGGAUUUUCCCCCAAAUUCACUAAAAUAAGUGAGCCUCAAUAAUAGUUAAAUUACAAGAGUUGUAACCUAGGAACUAACUAUAUGCAACAACCUUAACAGAUUGUUGCUUCCCUCUUCAAGUUAUAAUACCCUUAACUUGAAGCUAAGUUUUCCUAUUUUGUUUAUCCCUAGCUACGCAGUUGCUUUUAAAAAGCUGAAAUAGUACAACUCGAUCAUCACCUAAUACAAGAAUUCUAGACCCAAAAACCAUCAAGUAUGAAACAAGUUCUUCAAUCAACAAGUCAGAACUUCUUCUCAAAUAUACUCUUGCUUAUUUGCUUGAGUUCAGCCUUUAGCUCUCAGUAUAUAUCGAAACGUACGAUAUGCGCUUUUAUACUCGUACGUGAAAGUUCGGUUGAUCACAAAUACCAUGUAAGAUUAAACCCAUCUUGUAGUAAUGUUUAGAUGAGGACAACUUCUCCUGUCUAUCAUCAAAACUUCAUUAGAUCUGAUAAAUAUAAAUUGUGUUAAAUAGAUAUCAUGUGUAUGAAUUAAAAGUAUAUUUAUUAUUAAGAAAAAUAGACUUGAAGAGAAUGAUAGUUUAAUAGAUUUUUGAAAAACAUAAUAAUAUAUAGUUGAAUUAAAGUAAAUUUAGUAGGCAAAUUGUAAAAUGUUGAUAAGUUGGAUGACUUUUCGAGGGAACUAACUUCACUCAUUUUAUAUUUUUUUUGACGAAAAUAAAUGAUUGCAACCUUAACACUUUAGUACAAAAUACUUAAACAAGAAGAUAGUAUUUGCUACCACUCCGUUCUAGCCACCUAAGAGUAGUCAAAGAAAGAGAAGAAAACAAAAAAAAAAAAAAAAAAAUGGCCUUGUCACAGAGCCAACUUGAAGAGGCUAUGAGCCCUGCUAGGUUUGAAGCACAUGCAGCUUCUGUUGGAGCUCACAGUAGUGCAGUCACUGAGCCCAUCUUACCAUCAUCAUCCAUCUUAACAAAGGACAAAUCUUUUUCUUCUGCUGCAAGUCCAAUCAACUCCUUGCUUGCUGGCGAAAAAAUUCAAUUUGGUAACCUGCCUUGUCAUUUCAUAUGUAUGUAUCUCAAGUUAUGAUUAUUUCAUACGUAUAAUCUAAUCCCUCCGCUUACCAGGUGCUGUUACAUCCCCAACCGUCCUUCAUACUAGUAGUCGUGUUGUUUCACAUGGGAUUGGAGCUCCAGGGUCUAAUUGAUCUGAAGUACAAAUUUCCCGUAAUAUUUCUCCAGAUGAAAGUGAUUGUACCCUUUUCUUUGAGAAAGAUAAACGUGCAAAUGAUCCAUGUCUAAAUGUACAAGAUUCUGAGGCUGAAGCAGAAGCAGCUGCUUCUGCUGUUGCUGUAGCAGCUAUCAGCAGUGAUGAAAUUGUCGGGAAUGGACUUGGCUCUGCUAUUUCAGAAGCUAAAACUUUUGAAGGUACAGAAUUUGCAAUGCCCAAAUGUGCUUUGUUUAUCAUCUGAUGGUUCUGACAGUUGCCUGUAUUAAUCAGUCUGUGUUAUGGCAGGUGAUCAGCAAUUGAGCAGCCAAUCACGGGCAGAAGAGUCUCUUAGUGUAUCUCUUCCUGCUGAUCUCAAUGUUGAGACUCCUCCGAUAUCAUUGUGGCCGCCCCUACCAAGUCCCCAGAAUUCUUCGAGCCAAAUCCUAUCUCAUUUUCCUGGUGGCCCGCCGUCACAUUUUCCUUUCUAUGAGAUGAAUCCCGUGUUGGGCGGUCCUAUUUUUGCCUUCGGUCCACAUAAGGAGUCGGCUGGCUCCCAAUCACAGUCACAGAAAGCUACCGUGUCUAGCUCAGGUCCACUUGGUGCAUGGCAACAAUGCCAUUCUACGCUAGACUCAUUCUACGGUCAUCCAGCAGGGUUCACUGGCCCUUUCAUAAGCCCACCUGGAGGUAUCCCUGGAGUUCAAGGUCCGCCACACAUGGUGGUCUAUAAUCAUUUUGCUCCAGUUGGACAGUAUGGCCAGGUUGGAUUAAGCUUUAUGGGUACCACUUAUUUACCUUCUGGAAAGCAGCCUGAUUGGAAGCACACACCCUCAUCCUCCGCAAUGGGCAUCACUGAGGCGGAUAUGAAUAAUGUAAAUAUGGCUGGUUCUCAGCGAAAUUUAUCGAAUAUGCCUGCUACCGUCCAGCACCUUGGUCCUGCUUCACCAAUUAUGCCCAUAGCUUCUCCUCUGAUGUUUGAUGUGUCUCCUUUCCAGGUAAGGAAUGCCAUACCAUCAUUGAUGUUAACAAAAAAAAGGGCUUGUAGAAUAUUUCACCCCAUCGUAGUGGAGUAUACUUGUCUAUUUUAGUUGCUCACUUCUUUUUGAUUUUGAAAUAUUCAUAAUUGUCUUCAUUUCUUUCAUCUUGUGUAGAACUUAUUGAUUAAUUUCUAAGAAUAUAGACUCUGUAAUGCCUUAGAUUUUUGUUAUAUGAUCUAUUAGUGCAAGCAGUUCUCUCAUAUAACAUUUUACUUUGCUUUUGGUUUCAACUCAGUCUUCACCUGAAAUGCCAGUCCAAGCUCGCUGGUCUCAUGUCCCUGCAUCGCCUCUUCAUUCUGUUCCCAUUUCUCACCCCUUGCAACAGCAAGCUGAAGGUGUAUUGCCUCCUAAAUUUGGGCACGGUCAUUCGAUUGAUAAGUCAUUGAAUACCAAUAGGUUUUUGGAAUCUCAUCCUCCAGAAUCCUCUGAUGGUACCCCCAGUUUUACCGUUGCGACAGUUGCCAAUGCAGCUCAGUUUCCUGUUGAAAUUGGUCUUGGAGAUUCCUCCAAGUCGGGGGCUACUGUUGGUUCUGCUCAGAGUCUGGCCAGUCAAAGCUCCUCUGGAUGUGCUAAUGCAGAUGCUGGCAAAAUUGAUGCUCUCAGAAAUGGCAUCAGCAACAGUGGUAAAGAUCAAGGUGUCAGUGGUUUCAAAACGCACACCCAGCAGAAGAAUACCUCUGCAGGCUACAACUAUCACAGGGGUGGUGGAAUGUCUCAGAGAAAUAUGGCUGGAAAUGAUUGGUCCCAUCGCAGAAUGGGUUUCCAUGGCAGAAAUCAGUCCUUGGGUGCGGUUCCAUCUACUAAGGUGAAACAAAUAUACGUGGCUAAGCAAACCCUUGGUGGGACAAAAACCACGGGAGGAGAAAACCACAUGGUUGUUUAGAGAUCUUGAUAGGUAAGGAAGGAUCUGUUAUGAGUAUUAUGUCAGUGGGACAAUCAAGCUAGUUUUGGUACCUUCUUGCAUUUAUGGCCUCUGAAAAUAACUUAAUUUGGACUUUAGAUAAUUGGUUGGUGAUUAUAGUGAUCCUCUCAAUUUUGUCCGGAAUAUGGAUUUACUAAGUUGUGGUUUGGCUGCUGAGAUUUGAAAUUAAACCUUGUGCCCGGCUGUUAUCUGCAAAAUUUUCGUCAACUGCUUAUUGCUUUGGCUUCUAUUCUUUGAUUUAGUCCCUUCUUGGUAUUUGUUAACUACCAGAACUAAAGGAACAAGCUAUUUGUUAGCAUUAGUAGAAUGCUCUUGUUGUGCUUUCCAACAGCUUGUGUUAGCUAGCCUGGAAAAUGAAUGUUUGGAAUUUUACUCAGUCAUCGUCACUGUAUAAUGAUAACUAAGUGGUUGGAUGCCUGCUCGACUAGCUCAACAGUACUUGAGCGUACAAGUGAUUCAUGCAGGGACUAGGAGUUCUCUUAGUACUGUUUUGUUGCUGCAGUUUCUUUUGAUAAUUUUUUUGUCUUGAAGUUGCUCUAUUAGGGGACAGUUUCACUAUAUAACUCUGGCAAGUGUUGUUAAAUGAAAAAUGAUUUUUCUGCAUUUAAGAGCACGCCAAUGGUUAUCCAGAUAUAUGAGUUUUCAAGGCCUGUAAGUAAUGCAAUCUGAGAUUGCGCAUCUCAGGUUUCUGGUAUGGCGAGUCUAUUGCUCAUGUCUCAAUUGUUCCAAAAAGAAAGUUAUGUUUUUUGUAAUUAUAAAUAAUUUAACUUAAGAAAUUCUCUUUGUAUCCAAAUAAAAUGAUUUAUAGUAAUGCAAAUGGUCAAGGAGUAUUUUUUAUGUCACAAAUAUCACCAAUCUCCUUUUUUAAAAAACGUGUGUCAACUCAAACAAUGUCACCUGCUAGUUUUGAGUUAUACUUAAACUAACUCGGAUUGAAAUUUGAAACAGACAUAAGCUAGUUUGGUUACUUCCAUUACAUUUUUUUUUAAUUUAUAAAACAGCAUGUCAGCUGAAACACAACCAAUUCAACUGCUAAUUAAUAAUGGAUUAAGUAGCAACCAAACACUCAUUAUUUCUUGUACCAUAAGACGAUCGCCAACCUUAACACUGGUUUUUGUGUUUUGAACUAGCACAUUUAGCAAAUUGGGUUUUUGAUAACAAUUUUAUUAUCUUAAGAAGGUGGAGAUAUACUUUUUUUUAUCAACAUUUAUCAUUGGAUCUUCUUAGUGAGGUUUGGAGGUAAGGUAAUGAUAUUCUGCGUCCUAAUUAACAUAAGAUGGAAUGAAUCGGGUUAUACUUAUUUUCGCCUAAGUGAUGACUGGGUUACUUUACUUUGUGAAGUGCAGUAAAGUAAAAAAGACAAUUCUUUUUACGUGGAAAAACACCCGGCUCACAAGGGUGAAAAAAACCACGACCUACACCUCUGUAGGAUUUUCCCCCAAAUUCACUAAAAUAAGUGAGCCUCAAUAAUAUUUAAAUUAUAAGAGUUGCAACCUAGGAACUAACUAUAUGCAACAACCUUAACAGAUUGUUGCUUCCCUCUUCAAGUUAUAAUACCCUUAACUUGAAGCUAAGUUUUCCUAUUUUGUUUAUCCCUAGCUACGCAGUUGCUUUUAAAAAGCUGAAAUAGUACAACUCGAUCAUCACCUAAUACAAGAAUUCUAGACCCAAAAACCAUCAAGUAUGAAACAAGUUCUUCAAUCAACAAGUCAGAACUUCUUCUCAAAUAUACUCUUGCUUAUUUGCUUGAGUUCAGCCUUUAGCUCUCAGUAUAUAUCGAAACGUACGAUUUGCGCUUUUAUACUCGUACGUGAAAGUUCGGUUGAUCACAAAUACCAUGUAAGAUUAAACCCAUCUUGUAGUAAUGUUUAGAUGAGGACAACUUCUCCUGUCUAUCAUCAAAACUUCAUUAGAUCUGAUAAAUAUAAAUUGUGUUAAAUAGAUAUCAUGUGUAUGAAUUAAAAGUAUAUUUAUUAUUAAGAAAAAUAGACUU
RNAcentral lists this long non-coding RNA (5449 nucleotides) under Solanum tuberosum (potato). RNAcentral describes it as "long non-coding RNA (STUB_LNC003205)". The record is from RNAcentral. Lineage: Eukaryota; Viridiplantae; Streptophyta; Magnoliopsida; Solanales; Solanaceae.